This 407-nucleotide ribosomal RNA is filed under the name Acidobacteriota bacterium. Its description in RNAcentral is "Acidobacteria bacterium partial 16S ribosomal RNA". It matches the Rfam family "Bacterial small subunit ribosomal RNA", at positions 355 to 776 of the family's 1533-position model. The record is from RNAcentral. Lineage: Bacteria; Pseudomonadati; Acidobacteriota.
UGGGGAAUAUUGGGCAAUGGGCGCAAGCCUGACCCAGCAACGCCGCGUGAAGGAAGAAGGCUUUCGGGUUGUAAACUUCUUUUGUCGGGGACGAAACAAAUGACGGUACCCGACGAAUAAGCCACGGCUAACUACGUGCCAGCAGCCGCGGUAAUACGUAGGUGGCAAGCGUUAUCCGGAUUUACUGGGUGUAAAGGGCGUGUAGGCGGGAUUGCAAGUCAGAUGUGAAAACUGGGGGCUCAACCUCCAGCCUGCAUUUGAAACUGUAGUUCUUGAGUGCUGGAGAGGCAAUCGGAAUUCCGUGUGUAGCGGUGAAAUGCGUGGAUAUACGGAGGAACACCAGUGGCGAAGGCGGAUUGCUGGACAGUAACUGACGCUGAGGCGCGAAAGCGUGGGGAGCAAACAGG